RNAcentral lists this ribosomal RNA (243 nucleotides) under uncultured Streptococcus sp. RNAcentral describes it as "partial 16S ribosomal RNA". It matches the Rfam family "Bacterial small subunit ribosomal RNA", at positions 1141 to 1382 of the family's 1533-position model. The record is from RNAcentral. Lineage: Bacteria; Bacillati; Bacillota; Bacilli; Lactobacillales; Streptococcaceae.
UAGCGAGACUGCCGGUAAUAAACCGGAGGAAGUGGGAGUGACGUCAAUCAUCAUGCCCCUUACUGACCUGGGCGUACACACGUGCUACAAUGGUUGGUACAACGAGUUGCGAGUCGGUGACGGCGAGCUAAUCUCUUAAAGACCAAUCUCAGUUCGGAUUGUAGGCUGCAACUCGCCUACAUGAAGUCGGAAUCGCUAGUAAUCGCGGAUCAGCACGCCGCGGUGAAUACGUUCCCGGGCCUU